This is a long non-coding RNA of Cyprinus carpio carpio, 320 nucleotides long. NCBI's taxonomy places the organism in Eukaryota, Metazoa, Chordata, Actinopteri, Cypriniformes, Cyprinidae. The record is from Ensembl.
CACUAACCGAGCCUACAUCCUUCUCACAGAACAUCCAAGAACCUCGAAGUCUGAUGAUAGAUUACUAUUGCUUUAUCUUGUACUGAUUAUUCUUGCCCAUGACAUGAAGAGAGGCUGAGAUUGAACAACCUCCUUGACAGCAACCAAUCUGGCUUCAGAAGUGGACAUUCAACUGAGACUGCCUUGCUUUCAGUUAUUGAAGCCCUAGGACUGACAGCAGCGUGUGACCGCCAGCCCCACCGCCACGGGAGAGCACGGACCCACACUGAACUAGCAGCACCUCACAGACAAGACGCCGAGCACCGAACACCCAAACCACC